RNAcentral lists this transfer RNA (69 nucleotides) under Rhynchocinetes durbanensis. RNAcentral describes it as "tRNA-Leu". It matches the Rfam family "tRNA". Rfam says of the family: Transfer RNA (tRNA) molecules are approximately 80 nucleotides in length. Their secondary structure includes four short double-helical elements and three loops (D, anti-codon, and T loops). The record is from RNAcentral. Lineage: Eukaryota; Metazoa; Arthropoda; Malacostraca; Decapoda; Rhynchocinetidae.
ACUGUCUUAGCAAAUUUUAAUGCGUCAGAAUUAGGAUCUGAAGAUGGAGGGAUAGUCCCUCAGGCAGUA